UCAAGCUAAGCUAUUAACCCUUUCCUGCUUGCACAGGGAGAAUGUUCUCAGGUUUUUUUCUGGCCACAUCUAGUCUUGCUUCUACUCCAUCAAUUUCCCAGGUGGAAAUACAGCAAGAAGGCAGCUGUCUGUAAGCUCAGAAGAAGGCCUUCAUCAGGCUUAGAGCUGGCCAGUGUCUUUAACUGCAACAUCUCAGCUUUCAAAACUAGUUCGUUCAAUGGUGCCACCAUCUAGCUGUAUUGUAACAUGAGGGAGAGGGGGAAGAGGAGAUGGAGGUGUACAGAAGAAAAAAGAAAGCAAGGACAUAGUAGGCUCUUUCACAACUGCUUCCUUCAGGAACAAGCUUGGCCAGCCAAGAACUACACUAUCCAAU
Molecule: long non-coding RNA, 373 nt
Organism: Peromyscus maniculatus bairdii (prairie deer mouse)
Lineage: Eukaryota; Metazoa; Chordata; Mammalia; Rodentia; Cricetidae
Source: RefSeq, a predicted model, not a curated record